CAACAUGAAAAGGUGCUAUACCAAAUGUCUUAAGGCAGCCAUAUCUGAAAUGGCAUGGCUUAUGCAUCAACAAGGAAGUUAAACAUCACGUGAAGUAAUCGGUUACCAAGCAAGAAAGCAUUAGAUACAAGUUUGGGAUCAGAUUCCAGGUCGAUCUGGAUGAAUUAGCCUAUGCAGCACACUCCAAAACCCGGGAUAGAUGAGGAAGUAGGGCUUUUGACAUUUCUCCAGUACCUCCCGACGUGAAAAGCACUAUACAAAUGUAAUGUUGUAUUGUAUUCUCUCCUUUUUUCCUCUUCAAAAUGCCUUCAUCACAUUGAUGUAUGGUCCCACAAUCAAAGAACCGGAUCGAACAACAAAAACUUAAUCUGCAGAGCUGCUUAAAUGACAACCCCCACCACAACUGAAAGCA
Long non-coding RNA from Callorhinchus milii (elephant shark), 412 nucleotides. RefSeq lists it as uncharacterized. The transcript has 3 exons. NCBI's taxonomy places the organism in Eukaryota, Metazoa, Chordata, Chondrichthyes, Chimaeriformes, Callorhinchidae. The record is from RefSeq and is a predicted model, not a curated record.